GUUUCAAGAAUAUCAACAAUAGAAGCUUGCUCGAAAGUCGUACCACUGCCUAUCGUCGUCUCCCGGAUGCUCGAGUAUAUGAUAUUUUCACAUUAACAAGAAGAUUGGAACUCAUCUUGAUUGUUGGGAGCAUAUCCAUUUAAAUAAAUGAGUGCUUAGCUAAAUUUCUUUAUUGUUUAAAUAUAUCUUGUUGUAGUCAUAUGUAAAAAAUAAAUCCUUGGUUGAUCAAACACUCUUUAUUCAUGUGUUAUUUGUCUUUACUAUCUAUUAUAGUUUUGAUGCAUAUAAAAUGAGAUGUUUCAAGUA
Molecule: long non-coding RNA, 306 nt
Organism: Nicotiana attenuata
Lineage: Eukaryota; Viridiplantae; Streptophyta; Magnoliopsida; Solanales; Solanaceae
Exons: 2
Source: RefSeq, a predicted model, not a curated record